CAAAGUAGAGCUUGUAGGAAGCAGCUCAUUUACACUGAGUAGGGAUUAGUGCAAAUCUAAUUAUUUUGA
Non-coding RNA from Limulus polyphemus (Atlantic horseshoe crab), 69 nucleotides. The record is from the annotation of a RefSeq genome assembly. Lineage: Eukaryota; Metazoa; Arthropoda; Merostomata; Xiphosura; Limulidae.